Long non-coding RNA from Saccostrea cuccullata (small rock oyster), 1326 nucleotides. RefSeq lists it as uncharacterized. Lineage: Eukaryota; Metazoa; Mollusca; Bivalvia; Ostreida; Ostreidae. The record is from RefSeq and is a predicted model, not a curated record. The transcript has 5 exons.
UUUUAUUCCAUGAAAAGGGAAGAACUUAAUUAAAUUCUAAUAUAAGAUCUCAUUAUCACACUUAAUCAUAGUGAAUGUAAACAGUUUAUAUUUCCCAUCCUGCAUCGCUCUGUAGGCGCUUUAUUUCAUUGGUCAAUUUCCCGAGGCGCCAUUUUUGGAGGAUCGAGAAGGACGAAGAAGAAGGUGUAAGCAGCUGGUAAAUGUGAAAAGUUAAGAUGAUUUCACCACCCAGUGUCUUUAAGACUGUGAUAAAUGCAAUGGCCAACAAUGAAGGAUUAGUGUACGUAUAUUUUUGUUAACUUUUUACGGUAAAUAGUUGUAAUAUUUGGCAACAACAAAUCUUCACUAUCGGAGGCAACUUUUGUUCUGACGCCAUUUUGAAAAGUUGGAUACCUAAGUUUUAAAUUGUUAAGUGUAUAUAUUGCAGAGAGAAAGAGAGAGAGAAAAAAAAUUGAGACAGUGAUAUAGCAUAACUUAGAUUAUGGAGGCCCCAAAGGCACCGUGCAUGUGCAUGCUGUAUGUUGUAAAAUGGCAACGUUUCGCCUUUUAUCAUGUUUAUUAAAAUGUAUGCUCCAUAUGUAUGUUCUCUCUCUAUAUAUAAAUGAAUCCUUUUCGGAAAAAAAAAAAAAAAUAUUUUUAACCUCGCUCAAAUUAUCCGGAUGAUGAUAGUUACACCGAGCAUGGUUUCGUAGUUAAAUUCAUACUGUAGAACAUCCGGUUUGAAUUCAUGUGUUUUCUGACUUUUCGGAUAGCCAACUCUUGUUUUUUGGAACUUACGACUUAUGGAAAGAGAGAAGAAAACUGUGUGACUUUAAAAGAAAACCAGUGAGAUAAAAUCAUAGAAAAUGUAUGAUGAUUCAGGAUGUGGUCAUUUGUGACAUUAAAACAGGAAUUGUCAUCACCAAUAGACGAAUUUCACAUUCCUUAGAGUUUUCUCCAAUUGUCGGUAUAUCGCUCAUUUUCCCCACUUUGUCCUUUGUCCUGUUCUGUGGAUGCCCUAGACAGUGUCUACCCAUCACUCCAUCUGAAAUCACUUGUUCUGUGCAUAUUUCUCUCUCAAACUUAAACUACAGAGAGCCUGUGGAUAGAGGAUGAAGAGUGACCUUGGACUAAUUUUCUAGGUCAAAGAUCAUAGGUGACGUGAAGAAAACCAGGAAACUGAUGUUGAAAGAAGUACUUAAUGACCCUUAUGAAUGGACUUAAAUGUGAAAGACUGUUCCAUUGUUUAUCUAAGAUAUAUGAAUUUAUUUAAUAUUUUGAUAUCAUUGAAAAAUUCAGUUACAGUUUUUGUACAUCAAAUGAAUUAUUAAACAUAUAAAAUGGUAA